AGGCAGCAGUGGGGAAUUUUGGACAAUGGGCGAAAGCCUGAUCCAGCAAUGCCGCGUGCAGGACGAAGGCCUUCGGGUUGUAAACUGCUUUUGUACGGAACGAAACGGUCUCCUCUAAUACGGGGGGCUAAUGACGGUACCGUAAGAAUAAGCACCGGCUAACUACGUGCCAGCAGCCGCGGUAAUACGUAGGGUGCGAGCGUUAAUCGGAAUUACUGGGCGUAAAGCGUGCGCAGGCGGUUAUAUAAGACAGAUGUGAAAUCCCCGGGCUCAACCUGGGACCUGCAUUUGUGACUGUAUAGCUAGAGUACGGUAGAGGGGGAUGGAAUUCCGCGUGUAGCAGUGAAAUGCGUAGAUAUGCGGAGGAACACCGAUGGCGAAGGCAAUCCCCUGGACCUGUACUGACGCUCAUGCACGAAAGCGUGGGGAGCAAACAGGAUUAGAUACCCUGGUAGUCCACGCCCUAAACGAUGUCAACUGGUUGUUGGGUCUUCACUGACUCAGUAACGAAGCUAACGCGUGAAGUUGACCGCCUGGGGAGUACGGCCGCAAGGUUGAAACUCAAAAGAAUUGACG
Molecule: ribosomal RNA, 576 nt
Filed under: uncultured bacterium
Lineage: Bacteria
Description: bacterial SSU rRNA
Rfam family: Bacterial small subunit ribosomal RNA
Source: RNAcentral